AGUUAAUGAACUUGUUAUAAGUAUAUAUUUUGAAAAUAUAAAAAAGGAGAAUAAUACUUCUAUUAACUU
Molecule: transfer RNA, 69 nt
Filed under: Agriotes sp. GTI-106
Lineage: Eukaryota; Metazoa; Arthropoda; Insecta; Coleoptera; Elateridae
Description: tRNA-Ser
Source: RNAcentral